This 441-nucleotide ribosomal RNA is filed under the name uncultured Caldilineaceae bacterium. RNAcentral describes it as "bacterial SSU rRNA". It matches the Rfam family "Bacterial small subunit ribosomal RNA", at positions 338 to 795 of the family's 1533-position model. The record is from RNAcentral. Lineage: Bacteria; Bacillati; Chloroflexota; Caldilineae; Caldilineales; Caldilineaceae.
CCUACGGGGGGCUGCAGUAAGGGAUAUUGCACAAUGGGGGAAACCCUGAUGCAGCAACGCCGCGUGGGUGAAGAAGGCUUUCGAGUCGUAAAACCCUUUUCUAGGGGAAGAGGAAGGACAGUACCCUAGGAACAAGUCUCGGCUAACUACGUGCCAGCAGCCGCGGUAAGACGUAGGAGGCGAGCGUUAUCCGGAUUCAUUGGGCGUAAAGGGCAAGUAGGCGGUUGUCAAAGUUGGGCGUGACAUCUCCUGGCUCAACUAGGAGAGGUCGUUCAAAACUAGGCAACUAGAGGGCAGAAGAGGAAAGCGGAACUCCUGAUGUAGCGGUGGAAUGCUCAGAUAUCAGGAAGAACACCAGUGGCGAAGGCGGCUUUCUGGUCUGCACCUGACGCUGAGAGGCGAAGGCUAGGGUAGCGAACGGGCUUAGAUACCCCGGUAGUC